This 301-nucleotide ribosomal RNA is filed under the name uncultured bacterium. RNAcentral describes it as "partial 16S ribosomal RNA". It matches the Rfam family "Bacterial small subunit ribosomal RNA", at positions 509 to 807 of the family's 1533-position model. The record is from RNAcentral.
CAGCCGCCGCGGUAAUACGGAGGGUGCAAGCGUUAAUCGGAAUUACUGGGCGUAAAGCGUGCGUAGGUGGUGGUUUAAGUCCGUUGUGAAAGCCCUGGGCUCAACCUGGGAAUUGCAGUGGAUACUGGGUCACUAGAGUGUGGUAGAGGAUAGUGGAAUUUCCGGUGUAGCAGUGAAAUGCGUAGAGAUCGGAAGGAACAUCUGUGGCGAAGGCGACUAUCUGGGCCAACACUGACACUGAGGCACGAAAGCGUGGGGAGCAAACAGGAUUAGAUACCCGUGUAGUCCCUGUCUCUUAUAC